Molecule: long non-coding RNA, 1064 nt
Filed under: Vulpes vulpes (red fox)
Lineage: Eukaryota; Metazoa; Chordata; Mammalia; Carnivora; Canidae
Description: lncRNA (ENSVVUG00000014930.1)
Source: RNAcentral
CAAGGAACCUACCCAAAAUUGUACGGUAUUUCCUUUCCCAAACAGACUAAGCAGUUUUGCUGUUUUUGUGUGAUUCUGUGUGAGGAGGUCCUCUAGUAUAUUCCACUGGGCGGGUCUGUGGCCCUGAGGUGGAGACGGGUAAAGCCCACUCUUGCUGCUAAGCCUGGUCCUCAGAGAGAUGCCCAGGAUGUGCUCCAAGUCACCACAGAGUAAGAGGAGACUUUCCCACCAUCUUGUAAUUGCAGAUUGCCGGGUAACUGAGCCAUGAAAAACGAUCGUACCCAUGUUCCUCCACUGGCCUCAGAGAAAAAAUCCUGAAAGCAAUUUGUUGUGGUGGAAAAAAGACUGUCUGUGUGCCAGGGAGUUCUGGGGGUGCGGGAGAGGGAGCAUUCUCAUGCUUCCUAAGAAAGUCUGUGCAGAAUCCGUCUGUCUCUGGGAGUGUGGGUGAGGGACACCAUCUCCUUUCCUGGCUUCUGCAACCUGUGGGCUUGGGACCACAGUCUCUUCCAGGUCCUGCAGUCCACCAGGCUUUGUCCUGCAACACCCCCUCGGGGGCUCCCCACCUUGGAGGCAGAAGGCUGCUUUGGAGACACCAAUGUCCUGAGGCCUGCUGCUGCUGAUACUACUAACGCCUUCAUCAUCGGAGCAUUUAUGAGGCCCAGAUGCUACUCUUGGCUCUAACACCAUUGGUUAUGAAAAUCUUGGACAACUCAUUUAAAUCUUGGCAUUUCCUUAUCUGCAUUUUCCACAUUGGUAAGGUAGAGGUGAUGACGCCAGGCCAAAGCUUACCAUCAAAAUAGGAAACAGCUUCUUUUAAAGCGUUACAGAGCUACAAGGUGGAGCAGUCCACCCUUUGAAUACAAGGUCUGGCUGCCCCCUUGUCACUCCCCGACCCUCCAAAUCCUAGGCCAUCACAAGGUUUCUGUGCAAACACUGCCCUCUGAGUAAGCCAACCCCAGCCUGUAGGGGGAGGCUUCUCUGAUUAGGAUCCUUAGCAUCCUGGGGGACUGCACCAACCCUUGUGUCACUGAGGGAGAGGAGGAUCAUUUGAUCAGCCAGAGAAG